Molecule: ribosomal RNA, 513 nt
Filed under: uncultured bacterium
Lineage: Bacteria
Description: partial 16S ribosomal RNA
Rfam family: Bacterial small subunit ribosomal RNA
Source: RNAcentral
GGCGAACGCUGGCGGCGUGCUUAACACAUGCAAGUCGAACGAAAAGAGGGAAAGAGCUUGCUCUUUCCGGAAUUGAGUGGCAAACGGGUGAGUAACACGUAAACAACCUGCCUUCAGGAUGGGGACAACAGACGGAAACGACUGCUAAUACCGAAUAAGUUCCAAGAGCCGCAUGGCCCAUGGAAGAAAAGGUGGCCUCUACCUGUAAGCUAUCGCCUGAAGAGGGGUUUGCGUCUGAUUAGCUGGUUGGAGGGGUAACGGCCCACCAAGGCGACGAUCAGUAGCCGGUCUGAGAGGAUGAACGGCCACACUGGAACUGAGACACUGUCCAGACUCCUACGGGAGGCAGCAGUGGGGAAUCUUCCGCAAUGGGCGAAAGCCUGACGGAGCAACGCCGCGUGAGUGAUGACGGCCUUCGGGUUGUAAAACUCUGUGAUCCGGGACGAAAAGGCAGAGUGCGAAGAACAAACUGCAUUGACGGUACCGGAAAAGCAAGCCACGGCUAACUACGUG